Molecule: long non-coding RNA, 4664 nt
Organism: Numida meleagris (helmeted guineafowl)
Lineage: Eukaryota; Metazoa; Chordata; Aves; Galliformes; Numididae
Exons: 3
Source: RefSeq, a predicted model, not a curated record
AUGAUGCUGUUCUGUGUUGUUAUUCCCGUGGCAACAACAGCCAUUAUUUGACACAUCAGCCUGCCUGCCGCAUGCCUGAGCUGCACUGUGCUGGUGUUAGCUGGCUUUACACCUGCAAAAUAAUUGUGCUCUCCCUUCAAGAUCAGGCAUGUGAGCUUCAGCCAUUCUGAGGACAGCUUCACCGGAGCAAAAAAUCCAGUUAAAGAGAGGAACGCAGGAGGCAGAGCUGCUGAGUCAUUCCUCAGCCCUCCUCGGGUAGCCUUGCAGCAACAAGGGGAUCAAAGGGACUGUCUGACCAGGCCUGUUCUCCUGGCUUGUCCUAUGGAUCCAAAGCAGGAAGGAUCCCAGUGCUGACUGCCAGAUCUCCCCCCUCUCUCUGCAAAGGACGUUACAGAGAACGCAGAGCUGUUGGUGAAGAUGAAAACAGGACUGCUGUCUUUUGUUUUGAUGCUUUGCUGUGUUCUGGGAUCACAGGUGCUACUACAAGGUGCAGACAAGUGAGAUUCAUCAUCAGCAACUUCACACAUCUGCAAUGUGAACAUUUACUUCUGAGGAGUCGUCCUGGAUUCCUUUGAAAGUCCAACAAUAUACCUUCCUCUAAAGUAGACAUUGACAUCCUGUUGGGAUAUGCCCUAGAAUACUCCAUUUGUCUUCACAAACCCUAAUGGAGUUAAUUUGUCUUCACAGACCCUAAUGGAGUUCAGCAAAUAGCAGGGAGCAACAUUUAUGCAUGAGGUAUCCAGAUUUAGUGACCUCCGAUUUUCAGUUCUCAUUGAAACUCAAGAUUUUAAAAUCCAGCCUCUGUUCAGCCUUAUUUUCACAUCAGUCAGACAUCUCUGGAGAUGGAAUCGCCCUCUUCUCAAGGCAUGAUUUGAAUUUGUUCACUAAAACAUCUGCACAUAUGGCCCCUCACAGAAACUAUGCUUUCAUGAGUUUCUUGCCUUGGGCCACACCUCUCUUUCAACCCAUCCUCUGGGAAGUGUUUUGUAACAGGGUAAACAAAUGGGAUGGAUGCGUUUCUUUCCAUUGCUUUUUGGGAAAUAAUUGGUGAGCAGGCAUGGACUGGCUCCCCCCGGACAAAUCCAUCAUGAUGUCCUCAUGAGCCUGCCUUCCUGCUGUGCCUGGGUCAUGCCACACAGCACACCAUGGGAUCCUUAGGAUGAAAGGAGCUGUAUGAACAUAACCCAUCUCUACUGAUGCUAAAUGAGGGGGAAAGGGAAAUGUGUGAUUUAAAGCAGUGCCAGCUGUGGUUUAAUACCAGAUAAACCACACCAAGGCUGUUCUCAAACAAUGUUAGCCACUCUGCUCCACUCAUGGCCAGGCAAACUAGGGGGCAAGAAUAAUUUUUCCUAUCAACCCCACAAAGAUCUUUCUGCGCCUGAAUGUCUUGCCUGUAGAGAUAAAGCCAUGGACACUGCUGACAUGUUGCAUUCCUCUUAUCUGGGGCGGUUAUGUCAUCCGGCUGGUGUAAAUCUCCUGCUUCCUUGUGUGCUGCAAGCAAGCUCUGCUGUUGUGAAGAGGCAGUUUGGCUUGGUGCUGCUACCCAAAGCAAGAGGUGUGACUUGUCAGCAAAAAAGUCAUGGGAGUGAUAAUAUGGAGAGUGGCAAAAGGUUGGAAGCUAAGGCAGGGAGCUCAGAAAACACCACACAAUCUGCACAGCGAUCCCUCCUCUCACCAUGUGUCUUAUGUAAGGUGACGAGACUGACUCACUGUGCUGGGAAAUCUCCCGAAAAUCUGGGCAGGACUGCCGUGCUGCAUCUUUGGAAAUGCGAGCCAUCAGGAGCGCCUGUAAAUUGUGCUUUGCCAGACCUUGCAUCUCUUGCAACUUCAGGGGAAUGAGUGAGGCACCAAGUGCUGUGUCAGAUGGCAGUGUUAUGAGAGACAUCAGAAGGGACAUCUCCCACCAGUGGCUGCCCAGGGUCCCCUCCAUCCUGGCCUUCAGCACUUCCAGAGAUGGGGCACCCACAGCUCUCUGGCAGCAGUGCCAGUGCCUCACCACUCUCUGAGCAAAGAAUUUCUUCCUGACGCCUAAUCUAAGUCUCCUCUCUUUUAGUUUAAAACCAUUUCUCCUCGUCCUACCUUAGGAGAGGGUGAGUUGUCCUCAAAACUCCACUGACUGUCACAGACACUUUUCUGUGCCUACAAAGGGAGUGUGGAGUUGCAAACUUGACCACAUACAUUUGCAUCCCAUCAGCUGCAUCUCAGCCUGGGUCUGGUCUGUCUCACGUUGACAUCAGCUUCAUACCAAGAAAACUGCAAUCCUCGGGCCUGAUUUUCCAUGUAAUUGCAGCAGUGUUGAUGAGAUGAGAUUCAGAACCACCAUUUGGCAGUUUUGUCCCCCUAGCUUACGCUCUGACAGACAGUCAUUACAGCAACGUUUUCGUGGCUCCUUUCAUAAAAACAAGCCUUUCAGUUAAGAGUUAUUUGUUUGGAUUGGAGCCAAUUGCAAACUGCUGCUAUCUUAACAGGGUGUCCCGCGAUGCUUUCAGCUACAACGAGGUGUGCAAGAGGUGUUUAGUUUGCUGGCAAUUCUGAAGGAUAACUACAUACAUCUCUGUAGUUCCUGACCUACUGAAAAGUUUCACUCAACCUCGGAGGAAACAUUUCAGUUUGUCUUUAUGUGAAAAAGAAAAACAGAGUGAAAGGAAAUCUCUGAGCAGAAAGACAUCUCACAGCAAAAUCCUUCUCAAGCAGCUUAUUUUUAUAGUUCUAACUGAAUUCAUUUGGCAAAACCGACAGAAAUUCGCAGUCUUUCAGCUUUUUGCACCAGAAAGAGCACUCAGCCCCCCAAAAUCCGCCCACGCUGUUUCUGCUGCGGUGUUCAAAAAGCCACGGGGCGCCGGGCCCUUGCUGGCAGGAUGGGAGGGACGAGGAACAGCCCUGCAGGUUGGUGACAGAAGGUUAGCAAAGGGCUCCUGGAAGCCUUCCCUCUGCCAUACUUGCACGCGGCGAAUGUUCCCGUUACUACUUGCAAGCUGGUCGCAGAGCACAGCAAACACCAGGUACAAUAAAGACCCAGACAGCAGAAUGGAGUAUAAAUAGAUGAUGGAAUUCCUGGCAUUAGCUCUGGAGCAGUUUGGGACUGGAACGAGUGAAAAAUACAGUUUCUCUAAAAGGGAAAUUUCCUGUGAGUAAAAGCCAAAUGUUCCCCCUUGCUCCCCCUCCUUCUUUCCCCAGAUUCCAGUUUUUUCACUGGGGAGAAUCCAAGUGUUUCAAGUGAGUUCAAGCAGAAUUUCGUUGCGUUGAACUGGCCUGAUUUGGGAUGCAAACCGACCUCUGAAACGCUGAAAUUUCCCGUGGGAGCAGAAAUUCGGAAUUUUGCUCAGCUCCAGUUACUCCGCGCGUGGAAAUGGCCUCAAGCAAACAAAUAGCGCAGACAGGAGAUGCGCCCGCCAGGAUUUCACCUCGUGACUGGGAAGGGGAGAGCUGAGCUUCUCAAAAUCAGCCUUUAUAGAUGAGGCUGAAGACAGCCACACAGUAGUCCAUCCAGUAACCUGACCAGGGCAUGGGAAGAUGCUUGGGACUGACCAACAGGCCACAGCCCUGUAUGCCAAUGAUUAAAUGCUGGAGACACUAAUAAAGCCACUUUUUUUUGAAGUUUUCUUCUUUAUUUUCUUUUUCAACAAGUGCCAUCUAUUCCCUGUUUUACACAUGCCAACAUGGAUUGCUACUUGCUCUCCUGAAAGCAGUCUAGCAGUCACACUGGCCAUGGACUCAGCUGUGUGACCAAGAGCUUGCUUGGUCCUCGUACACGUUUAGACCUGUUUUUCUGAUAAGUUUAGCUUGUUUAUGAACAUGCAUGAAACGCUGCACGUGAUAUUCUGUUCUGGUGCAUCUUGUUAGACUGUAUUUUAACUUCACUUAACGUUCUCGUCGAUAGAAUAAACGUCACUAUUCAUAUAAAUCAUUUACAUGUUGAGAUCCUGUGAUAAAGCACGGUAAAAGUGUCUUGCCCACACUAAUGAACUGAGCAAAGCAAACAUCCUGAAAGAUAAGGAGCCUUUUGAAACUUUACGGACAGAAAAAAACAUUUGAUCGUUGAGUCUGAGUCCUUGUAUAUACAAGCCAUAAAAAAUCACCCACGUAUUUCUGCAUUGUGUCCAGUAAUGCAUUCUUGAGUAAUGUGUCUGUUCCUGGAAAUCAUACAGGGCACUGUUCAUUUGCCUAAAUGGAGGUGUAUGGGGUUUUUUGAGAUUGUUUGGGCAUAUGACAUAUCCCUGCAGGUCUAGUAGGAAAUGACACACACCUACAGACUGCUGGGCUCAUGGUGCAGCUGCUGGCAGUGGGGCAGGGCACUUCUAUGGCCAUCAAGAGGUGUGAGAUAUCUCGCUCACCUCCACAUCCUUGUGCAGGGGCCCCAGAGCUGAACACGGCACUGCAGGUGGGGGGUUGCAAGAGCAAAGUAGAGGUGGACAACCAAAUCCCUUGCCCUGCUGGCCACGCUUCUUUUGAUUCAGCCCAAGACGAUGUUGGCUUUCUGAGCUGUGAGGGCACAUUGCUGGAUGUUGAGCUUUUCAUCAGCCAACACCCUUAAGUCCUUCGCAAUAUGUUCACUGCACAGCCUGUAUUUGUGCUUGGGAUUGCCCCAACCCAGGUGCAGGACCUUGCUGUUGGCCUUGUUGAACUCCAUGAGGUUCACAUGGGCCCACUUCUCAAGCCUGGCC